UGCUCGAGUGGCGAACGGGUGAGUAACACGUGAGUAACCUACCCUUGACUUUGGGAUAACUUCAGGAAACUGGGGCUAAUACCGGAUAGGAGCUCCUGCUGCAUGGUGGGGGUUGGAAAGUUUCGGCGGUUGGGGAUGGACUCGCGGCUUAUCAGCUUGUUGGUGGGGUAGUGGCUUACCAAGGCUCUGACGGGUAGCCGGCCUGAGAGGGUGACCGGCCACAUUGGGACUGAGAUACGGCCCAG
RNAcentral lists this ribosomal RNA (245 nucleotides) under uncultured Actinomycetales bacterium. Its description in RNAcentral is "partial 16S ribosomal RNA". It matches the Rfam family "Bacterial small subunit ribosomal RNA", at positions 88 to 334 of the family's 1533-position model. Lineage: Bacteria; Bacillati; Actinomycetota; Actinomycetes; Actinomycetales. The record is from RNAcentral.